UCUCACUCUAGCAGAUAUGGCCAUGAGGCUUCAGCAUAAUUCCAGCCAUGACCUGCAAAAACUCACAAAUCUAUAAUCAAAUGAAAAAGGUCACUCACUUUGAAGCAAACCCUUUUCAUUUUUUACCUUAUAAUAAGCAAACCUUUUUCAUCUUUUACCCUUACAUUUUACCACAUGUAGCUAAACAAACUGGAAUAGUAAAACAAGCUUUUCUAACCAUACACAGAGAGAUAUAUAAUUAACUAAUAGAGAAACUGUCUCCCGGUAUAUGUCUGACCAAAUGACCAAUUAGGAGGGGCAACAUUGUAAGAAACCAGUCUGCGGCCAUCACUGGUGGUCACAAGAAAGGAGAGGCUUUGUCCAUUGAGGUAAGAAUUGCUCUGCCAGUUUUGGCCCCAGUUUCUUGACAUUGCUUGCCACCGAGUCCUCGAGCCCUUGAUGGCCACAGAUUGCACAUCACCAGCACCACCAACGUUUGUCACAAGGACUAAGUUGAAGUAAGAGUGUCCAUUGACUGUGAACCUUAUGCCUCCUCUUC
Molecule: long non-coding RNA, 538 nt
Filed under: Malus domestica (apple)
Lineage: Eukaryota; Viridiplantae; Streptophyta; Magnoliopsida; Rosales; Rosaceae
Description: long non-coding RNA (MDOM_LNC007900)
Source: RNAcentral